AGGAUAAACGCUGGCGGCGUGCCUAACACAUGCAAGUCGAACGUCCUACGCAAGUAGGGAGUGGCGGACGGGUGAGUAACACGUGGGCAAUCUACCUUUCGGUGAGGAAUACCGGCGAGAAAUCGCCGACAAUACCGCAUACGCUUCGCAAGAAGCAAAGUCGCAAGACGCCGGAGGAGGAGCCUGCGCCCGAUUAGCUCGUUGGUGGAGUAAUGGUCUACCAAGGCGACGAUCGGUAGCUGGUCUGAGAGGAUGAUCAGCCACACUGGGAUUGAGAACGGCCCAGACUCCUACGGGGGGCAGCAGUGAGGAAUUUUCCGCAAUGGGCGAAAGCCUGACGGAGCAACGCCGCGUGAGUGAUGAAGACCUUAGGGUUGUAAAGCUCUGUCGGAGGGGAAGAACACAAUGACGGUACCCUCCAAGAAAGCCCCGGCUAACUACGUGCCAGCAGCCGC
This 455-nucleotide ribosomal RNA is filed under the name uncultured bacterium. Its description in RNAcentral is "partial small subunit ribosomal RNA". It matches the Rfam family "Bacterial small subunit ribosomal RNA", at positions 26 to 518 of the family's 1533-position model. The record is from RNAcentral.